GAGAAGGGGAGGGGCGGGAAGGAGGAAGGGCGGCCCAAUACGUCAUCAUUCCCCCUCCCCUCCCAACCCCGAGUUGGGAAAGAGGAGCUGCGUGGGGCGGGGGCGGCGGGACGUGUGGGAGAGCGACAGCAUCUAGAAAGGAAGAAGAGGCUUGGAGAUUUGAAAAGGGCAGUAAAAAAAGAGCCUGAUUCAUCCAAACCAUAGUAAUUCAGAUAUCCUACUGAUUCCAUGCGCCUCGCUUUGAAGUCAGCAUGCUUGGGAUUGUCAACUUUCUAGGGUUAACCCCGCCCCGCCCUCCGCUUCCUGGAUGUGACCCCCAAACGGUGACGUGUGACAAAAGUACUACUGCAAAUUAUGCAAGAAAGCUGACUGUGUAUUGUCUUCGAAUUAAUGCGAACUAAGAAGAAUGUGCAUACAAACCGGCCACUGUGAUGUGCACGUUUCGCUGGAUAUCAUAGAUAAUAGGCAAACAUUAAGAGGAUGGAACUCACUGGUCUGGUCUGGUCAAUAUGCAUAACUUCCAAAUCAUGUUGGACGACAUGAGUAUUCCACCCAUUGACUCGUCAAUGUACAUAAGCUCUUAGUGGAGGAUCCACGUGCUGAUUUGGAAGUAUGUGAAAACCCCUCUUGAUUGCUGAGUGCUCUGCACGUUCUCCAUAGCAUCCCUCGGAGGCUAUGCAUGCUGACCGGAAAACAUGCAAAAUCCCUUGUCCUAUCUGUUCAUUUGUGCACAUUCUCCAGUAUGAUCUAUGAAUGGGUGGGUGGCUAGUUUUUAUGCAUUCCUUCAUUAACCACUCUUCUCUCUUCCCCCUCCCCCCCACUUUUCUACACACCCACACCUCUGUGGCAGUGGCAGCCUGAUCCUGGAGAGAAGGAGACUGCAGGGUUGGCCUGUGCAUCUCUCCUUAUCAGGAAAGAAUACUUCUGAAAAAUGGCCACAAAACCAAGUUUUCACCUAUUAUGAUUGUUUUAUAAUAUUGUAUUUAUUAACUUUACUAACCACCUUUUGUUUGAGGGACCCCUGGGUAGGGUGUGUGUGUGUAUCUGUCUGUAUAUAUAAAUGCACUCACACACUUACAAAACAACAGGAAUGCGAAUUUGUAAUCGUGUAUUUGUUCUCACAAUUCCCUUUUGCCACUGUUAGCAAAUCAGCAAUUUUACUGAUUUGAGUGGGAUCAGAAAUUUUAUUGUGGCUUUAAUUAGGGUUGCUCUUUCUAAACUGGCCUGACCAUUUCUCCUCUCAGUUUCUGUGCUAACAGUAGGCAAUUUACAUCUACAUCUGUUUUAAUAUAUUUACUUUGUUUGAUCUAAGAUCGUAAAUAAACAACUAACUAACUAUAUUUACUAUAUUUUUAAUAUAUUUAAUAUACUUUUAUUUAUAAGUAUGUAUAUAUUUACGUACUUACAGCUUUUUAUUUUUCUGGGAGACUGAUAACUAUGUUCUGAUAGUUGAUUUUCUGGUUGCUUAUUAGGAUUUCUCAUAAAUACAGGUUUUCUGGUGCUGAAUUUCCACUCUUGUCCCCCCAAGGUGAUUUUGGCUGUGGUCACAACAUAUUAUGACCAUGGGUAUGCAAGACCCAUGUGAAUGAACAAUGAUUGUGUCUGGGCAGUGCUUUGUGUAGUGUUUUCUCAACAGUUGAAUGCUCUGUUUCUCUUCUAAAGAGCUAUUGAUUGAUAACUGCUGGUGCCAAUAGCUGAGCAAUUCUUGAGCACUACUAACAUUUACUUUUAUCACAGAUCCAAGUUACUGCAUUUCAUUCAACACAAAGCCAAGCCACUGUAUUAAUAUCUGAAUAAUUUAUAAUUAGAAAUAAUGUCUAUUUUCUCAAA
This is a long non-coding RNA of Hemicordylus capensis (graceful crag lizard), 1830 nucleotides long. RefSeq lists it as uncharacterized. Lineage: Eukaryota; Metazoa; Chordata; Lepidosauria; Squamata; Cordylidae. The transcript is spliced from 2 exons. The record is from RefSeq and is a predicted model, not a curated record.